AGCGAACGCUGGCGGCAGGCUUAACACAUGCAAGUCGAGCGGGCAUCUUCGGAUGUCAGCGGCAGACGGGUGAGUAACACGUGGGAACGUACCCUUCGGUUCGGAACAACUCUGGGAAACUGGAGCUAAUACCGGAUACGCCCUUAUGGGGAAAGGUUUACUGCCGAAGGAUCGGCCCGCGUCUGAUUAGCUAGUUGGUGGGGUAACGGCCUACCAAGGCGACGAUCAGUAGCUGGUCUGAGAGGAUGAUCAGCCACACUGGGACUGAGACACGGCCCAGACUCCUACGGGAGGCAGCAGUGGGGAAUAUUGGACAAUGGGCGCAAGCCUGAUCCAGCCAUGCCGCGUGAGUGAUGAAGGCCUUAGGGUUGUAAAGCUCUUUUGUCCGGGACGAUAAUGACGGUACCGGAAGAAUAAACCCCGGCUAACUUCGUG
RNAcentral lists this ribosomal RNA (435 nucleotides) under uncultured bacterium. RNAcentral describes it as "partial 16S ribosomal RNA". It matches the Rfam family "Bacterial small subunit ribosomal RNA", at positions 29 to 507 of the family's 1533-position model. The record is from RNAcentral.